GUGCAUGGGCGAUAGUCACGCUCCGUGUCGUGAGAUGUUGGGCUAAGGUCUCGCAACGAGCGCAACCCCUAUCCUCAGUUGCCAUCAUUAAGUUGGCACUCUGUGGAGACUGCCGGUGUUAAACCGGGAGGAAGGUGGGGAUGACGUCAAGUCCUCAUGGCCCUUAUGACCAGGGCUACACACGUGCUACAAUGGCCGGUACAAAGAGUUGCGAGACCGCGAGGUGGAGCCAAUCUCAGAAAGCCGGUCUCAGUUCGGAUUAGAGUCUGCAACUCGACUCUAUGAAGUUGGAAUCGCUAGUAAUCGCGGAUCAGCACGCCGCGGUGAAUACGUUCCCGGGCCUUGUACACACCGCCCGUCACACCACGGGAGUCGAUUGGUCCCGAAGUGCGUGAGCUAACCCCUUGUGGGAGGCAGCGUCCUAA
Molecule: ribosomal RNA, 425 nt
Filed under: uncultured delta proteobacterium
Lineage: Bacteria; Deltaproteobacteria
Description: bacterial SSU rRNA
Rfam family: Bacterial small subunit ribosomal RNA
Source: RNAcentral